CCUCUAUCCUCUCAUAUCCCUUAUGUUGUACCUUAGGGGGAAGAUUUGAUACGUGAAAGUGGUAUUCCUUAUACAAUAGUAAGGCCAUGUGCCUUAACUGAGGAGCCUGCCGGUGCUGAUCUCAUUUUCGACCAGGGAGACAAUAUUACGGGGAAGAUAUCAAGGGAAGAGGUUGCCCGCAUUUGUGUUGCUGCUCUGGAAAGCCCAUAUGCAUCUGACAAGACAUUUGAGGUCAAAAGUGUCAUUCCAUUCAGUGAACCAUUCACAGUGGACCCUGAAAACCCUCCCCCUGAGAAGGACUAUAAUAUAUACUUCAAAACUUUGAAGGAUGGUGUUACAGGGAAAGAAGUCUUGGAGCAUACUCCCGUGUUAGCUUGACGCCUUCACAUGAUGGGUUCCAUUUUCAGCAUUAUUACAUGUAAGUACAAGAGAGUACACAGAUCCUGGGUUUUUAUGUUGAGAAGGAUGGCUCGUACUCAGUCCAUUUACUAUCCCCAUCCAAAUGUUUACCACGAAAUUCUGUGUUCAAAAUAUUUCACCAUAGAGUGCUGUGUCGUUCUUUGGCAAAUAGCCUAGAGGUCAUCAUACCUCAUGCAUGGGAUUGAAUCCCUCCUUCCACUAAUGAAAGUUUAAUUGUUGUGAAUACAAGAUAAUAGUGGUCCAACACCAUAUCCUAUUUGGAUUGGAUGACAGUGGGUUUAGGAACAUGAACUGUAGUUCAUUUUUUUCUGCUUCCACUGACAUUCUCUUUGUAUAAUGGUUCAGGAGAAUCUCCAUCAAAAAACUGCUAGGGGGUUCUUAAGAAACUAAUGAGGAAGGGGAGCAUUGGUCUGUAAUAGAAGCAUUUCUUGCAGUUAGAUGUUUCAUAAUAUCAGAAUAAGUUGCAAGGACUACUUGACGCA
Molecule: long non-coding RNA, 902 nt
Organism: Macadamia integrifolia
Lineage: Eukaryota; Viridiplantae; Streptophyta; Magnoliopsida; Proteales; Proteaceae
Exons: 3
Source: RefSeq, a predicted model, not a curated record